AGAGUUUGAUCCUGGCUCAGAACGAACGCUGGCGGCAGGCUUAACACAUGCAAGUCGAACGGACCCUUCGGGGUUAGUGGCAGACGGGUGAGUAACGCGUGGGAACCUACCUAUAAGUACGGAACAACACAGAGAAAUUUGUGCUAAUACCGUAUGUGGUCUUCGGAUUAAAGAUUUAUCGCUUAUAGAUGGGCCCGCGUUAGAUUAGCUAGUUGGUGAGGUAACGGCUCACCAAGGCGACGAUCUAUAGCUGGUCUGAGAGGAUGAUCAGCCACACUGGGACUGAGACACGGCCCAGACUCCUACGGGAGGCAGCAGUGAGGAAUAUUGGACAAUGGGGGCAACCCUGAUCCAGCCAUGCCGCGUGAGUGAUGACGGCCUUAGGGUUGUAAAGCUCUUUCAGUAGUGAAGAUAAUGACGGUAACUACAGAAGAAGCCCCGGCUAACUUCGUGCCAGCAGCCGCGGUAAUACGAAGGGGGCUAGCGUUGUUCGGAAUCACUGGGCGUAAAGCGCGCGUAGGCGGACUUUUAAGUCAGGGGUGAAAUCCCGAGGCUCAACCUCGGAACUGCCUUUGAUACUGGAAGUCUUGAGUUCGAGAGAGGUGAGUGGAAUACCGAGUGUAAAGGUGA
Molecule: ribosomal RNA, 630 nt
Filed under: uncultured Alphaproteobacteria bacterium
Lineage: Bacteria; Pseudomonadati; Pseudomonadota; Alphaproteobacteria
Description: bacterial SSU rRNA
Rfam family: Bacterial small subunit ribosomal RNA
Source: RNAcentral